AGAGUUUGAUCAUGGCUCAGGAUGAACGCUGGCGGCGUGCCUAAUACAUGCAAGUCGAACGCGAGCAGCAAUGCUCGAGUGGCGAACGGGUGAGUAAUACAUAAGUAACCUGCCCUAGACAGGGGGAUAACUGCUGGAAACGGCAGCUAAGACCGCAUAGGUAUGGACACUGCAUGGUGACCAUAUUAAAAGUGCCAAGGCACUGGUAGAGGAUGGACUUAUGGCGCAUUAGCUGGUUGGUGAGGUAACGGCUCACCAAGGCGACGAUGCGUAGCCGACCUGAGAGGGUGACCGGCCACACUGGGACUGAGACACGGCCCAGACUCCUACGGGAGGCAGCAGUAGGGAAUUUUCGGCAAUGGGGGGAACCCUGACCGAGCAACGCCGCGUGAAGGAAGAAGGAAUUCGUUCUGUAAACUUCUGUUAUAAAGGAAGAACGGCGGAUAUAGGGAAUGAUAUCCGAGUGACGGUACUUGACUAAGAAGCCCCGGCUAACUACGUGCCAGCAGCCGCGGUAAUACGUAGGUGGCGAGCGUUAUCCGG
RNAcentral lists this ribosomal RNA (543 nucleotides) under uncultured bacterium. RNAcentral's name for it is "bacterial SSU rRNA". It matches the Rfam family "Bacterial small subunit ribosomal RNA", at positions 8 to 548 of the family's 1533-position model. The record is from RNAcentral.